AGGGAAACAGCUCAGUGGUAGAGCACAUGCUUAGCAUGCACGAGGUCCUGGGUUCAAUCCCCAGUACCUCCA
This 72-nucleotide transfer RNA is filed under the name Camelus bactrianus (Bactrian camel). It matches the Rfam family "tRNA". Rfam says of the family: Transfer RNA (tRNA) molecules are approximately 80 nucleotides in length. Their secondary structure includes four short double-helical elements and three loops (D, anti-codon, and T loops). Lineage: Eukaryota; Metazoa; Chordata; Mammalia; Artiodactyla; Camelidae. The record is from Rfam by way of RNAcentral. RNAcentral also lists the same sequence under 3 other names.